This is a long non-coding RNA of Daphnia pulex (common water flea), 1048 nucleotides long. RefSeq lists it as uncharacterized. The record is from RefSeq and is a predicted model, not a curated record. NCBI's taxonomy places the organism in Eukaryota, Metazoa, Arthropoda, Branchiopoda, Diplostraca, Daphniidae. The transcript is spliced from 5 exons.
GUCGGUUGUAAGCCUAUCACUAGGUGGCUCAAAUUAAUGUCCACCAGGUGGCGGUGUGCCCAUUCGUGAGUCACCAAAUGACCAAAAUUCCGCCAUUAUUUUUUCUUUUUUUGAGACCCGAGACCGCCCGAGACACUGGGAAGACGUCAAAGAAAGCUAAAUGUAAUGUGAAUUCCGCAAUUUUUCAUUAUGAGACUUGAAAAGGUAAAUCAGCUUAUCAUUUUCACUUGCAAAUCCACUGAUGACGUGUCCUGAAACAUGCUCGCUGUUUUGCCGUAAUGUCGUCUGGGGCUACCACCUGUAUGGGCUUUAAGUCUCAUCCCAUGCAGAAAUACUACAUAACAGAAGUAACAAUGUCCAAUGUUCCUACAAUAAGGCUAUACAUUCAGUUCAUUGAUAGACCCCUGUGCGUUGUGCUGAUUGUAGAAGAUUCUGAUCAGUUAAGUGUGGAAAUGUUCUUAUUUCCAGUUGUUUGGAGACGUACUGAGGGCAAAUGGGUUUCACAUCCAGAUGAAGUCUGAGCUUCUGUGGUGCUGUCUAACAUGUUUGUGUUGUUGUUGCUGCAGCCAGCUGGGUGAAUGGUGUGGUAAGAUGCUGCUGCCAUUUGGGUGCUGGUGUGGUAGGCUGCUGCGUGCAGUCCAAGGUGUGGUCACUGUGAUUAUCUUCGAGUUGCAGUUUGCAUCGUUUUCAACCGCCCAGGCGAAUGUAUAGUAGCCUAAACAUUGGAAUUCAGCCACGUUAUUGCCGCAUUUCGCCUUGUAGAAGAUGAAGACAGUUCCGAUACAGACACUGAUGUGACGGCCGAGUCCGCCGCAACGGCAGUGAUUCGUUGCGACAGUUUAUUCCCAUUUACCCCGGUAUCUAGAGCAGCGAAUGAGGUGAACGAACGAAAAUUAAUCAUUUCAUGGGAACAGGAGUUUUUGACCUGUCAAUUAAUUAUAUAUAAGACAGGCUUAUUUAAAGAGAGUAUUUGUUUCAUAUUGGGAUUUCUUUAAUUUCUGGAAGGAAUUUGUGGACGUGUCCAUGUAAAGAUCUUUUUAUAUACCUU